RNAcentral lists this ribosomal RNA (470 nucleotides) under uncultured bacterium. RNAcentral describes it as "bacterial SSU rRNA". It matches the Rfam family "Bacterial small subunit ribosomal RNA", at positions 29 to 524 of the family's 1533-position model. The record is from RNAcentral.
AUUGAACGCUGGCGGCAUGCCUAACACAUGCAAGUCGAACGGCAGCACAGCAUGUAGCAAUACAUGUGGGUGGCGAGUGGCGGACGGGUGAGUAACGCGUGGGAAUCUGCCCUAUAGUGGGGGACAACCCGACGAAAGUCGGGCUAAUACCGCAUACGCCUACGGGGAAAGGCUUCGGCCGCUAUUGGAUGAGCCCGCGUCGGAUUAGCUAGUUGGUGAGGUAAUGGCUCACCAAGGCGACGAUCCGUAGCUGGUCUGAGAGGACGAUCAGCCACACUGGGACUGAGACACGGCCCAGACUCCUACGGGAGGCAGCAGUGGGGAAUAUUGCACAAUGGGCGAAAGCCUGAUGCAGCAAUGCCGCGUGUGUGAAGAAGGCCUGCGGGUUGUAAAGCACUUUCGGUAGGGAAGAUUAUGACGGUACCUACAGAAGAAGCACCGGCUAACUCCGUGCCAGCAGCCGCGGUAAU